This 30-nucleotide non-coding RNA is filed under the name Mus musculus (house mouse). The record is from RNAcentral. Lineage: Eukaryota; Metazoa; Chordata; Mammalia; Rodentia; Muridae.
UGGGUUCCUAUGACCAGGCAGAAUGCAGUU